This is a non-coding RNA of Equus caballus (horse), 2033 nucleotides long. Lineage: Eukaryota; Metazoa; Chordata; Mammalia; Perissodactyla; Equidae. The record is from RefSeq and is a predicted model, not a curated record.
GGAGGCUGUUUUAAGAUAAGGUGCUCAUGGAUACAAGUAUUGAAUUUAGAAUCUUUUCAAACGUACUCAUGGGUAAGUUCUUUAAUAUUAGUUCUAAAUUCACUAUCUUACAAUAUCACCAAUGCUUUAAGACAAGAAAAUACAGGUAAGGGGAUAUUGCACCUACAGUGAACAUUCCAAUGAAGUUGUCAGUAACUGACACAGAAUAAUGUAUUGAGGGGGGAUAAAAGGGUUAGAACCAUAGGAGAAAUGUACAAAUAAUGAUUACCAAAUAGAAAUUAGUGAGUCCUCACAAGUACAAGGACAUAUGUGCUGACACAAUAAGGAAUGUAUAGGCCCAAUGAAUUCAGUAAAUAAGUUGCAGAAUACUUGAGAAACAUGAUGUUUUAUUUUCUUCCCACAGAUUUCACAGACUGGCAAAAUUUUUUUUAAUGUUUCAAUGCUCAUUUCUGAGGAGGGAACAGAUGGAUGGUGGUGGGGUGCUCAAAAGUGUUUUGCAAAUUACCUCCCAAUCAAACUUACAGAUGCUCAAAAAAUAGCCAGCCCUCACAGUCACCACGGCCAAGAUCUUUGCAAGAAAUUCGUCUUUUGCUCUUGCCAGCUAUAGGACCUAAAGAUAAAUAGAGAAGACUGCUGAAAUGUCUGAAAUCAAAGAUAAGGAAGAACGUUAUCUGAUACUCAGGGCACUAUCGGGAGUGCCAGCAUGCUGCACAGAACUCAAGAGCUAAAGGAUGGCUCUGAACCCCAGUCAGAGAAAGUACUUUCUCUUUCCAAAGCCUCAAAACAAAUUCAUAUACAUCAUGCCACUGAACUUUCUAAUCUCCCACGAAGCAGGAGAGGAUAUUAUUUUUGUCCUUAUUUUGUAGGCAGAGAAAUUGGGGCACAAAGCAGUAGUUGAAACCAAGGGCUCUUACAUAUGCAUACAUAUAUAUUCAUACCUUUUUUAGGGGUUUAUUGUGCUUUCCCAGGCAAUAUCUCAUUUGAUUUUCUAACAAACCAUAUGGAGCAGGCAGGCAAAGAUGACUAUCAUUUGUUCCUUUGAAGUUCAUUCUAUUCCAUAAGCCACUAUCACCUACUGGAUCUCGUAGGCACUCCCCCUCAGUCACUAACUAUUUCAGCGCUUGGAUCAAUAUUUUCUUCUCACACCUACUUCUGUCACUAUUAAUGGUGACUAAUCUUCAUGUAGGGGAUGUCAGCACCUUGGCUCCUCAGUCGCUCAUCUCCAAUGAUCUUUACUUCUCCAACCCUCAGCUACCCACCCCCAUGACCAUAUGUUUGUUAUCUUCAGCAUACUCCAACCACUGCCUCCAUCAUCUACAUUUUACAUAGUCCAAUACUCCCAAUCCAGCAAUUUUUAGAAAAUCUUCAUUGAGGCAUCCAAUUCAUUCACCUUACCACUGUUUUGUGCCUUUAUUUUUCUUCUUCCGCUUGGUUUCCAUGAGAUAUCAUUACAAUCAUUCCCUUAAACCACACUCCUUGCAUCAUACUUGCCUAGUUCAACAACCACGCCAGUUAAACCCGCCUAUCUGUCUACUCCAUGCUAACUGCCGGAACAGCUUAAUGUCUUAACAAAAAAACCCCACCACUGUAUUGACUGGUCUAGCUUUCAAUUAAUGAUUAUAAGUCACUGGUUCUAGUCAGUCUACUAAGCCAGAUUGUUCACUGGUAUAAUAAGGUUAAUUAUAUUUAUAUGAUUAACUAACUAACAGGGUAAGAGAUUGCAUGUGUAAUUUUAAUUCACAGACAAUCCUUCAAAAUGAAUUUUAGGUAACAGAUUCUUCUUUUUCUUUACAAAGGUUAUGUCUGUACAGAGCAAUUAGAUUUUGUUCACAUAAAACUUGCUGGUCUUGGUUUUAUACUACAAAUUCGUAUUCCGUACCAUACUUUCUCAUUUAGUAUCUUUGCUCAUAAAAUAACAUCCUACUUAUACAAUCAUGCACUGAAUAAUGACAUUUUGGUCAACGACAGACCACAUAUACGAUGAUGGUCCUAUAAGAUUAGUACCUAUUGUCUAGGUGUGCAGUAGGCUAUAC